RNAcentral lists this transfer RNA (74 nucleotides) under Rickettsiales bacterium. RNAcentral's name for it is "tRNA-Lys". It matches the Rfam family "tRNA". Rfam says of the family: Transfer RNA (tRNA) molecules are approximately 80 nucleotides in length. Lineage: Bacteria; Pseudomonadati; Pseudomonadota; Alphaproteobacteria; Rickettsiales. The record is from RNAcentral.
GCCUCCUUAGCUCAGUUCGGCAGAGCAUCAGACUUUUAAUCUGAGGGUCGCGGGUUCGAGCCCCGCAGGAGGCU